This 253-nucleotide ribosomal RNA is filed under the name uncultured bacterium. Its description in RNAcentral is "partial 16S ribosomal RNA". It matches the Rfam family "Bacterial small subunit ribosomal RNA", at positions 524 to 776 of the family's 1533-position model. The record is from RNAcentral.
UACGUAGGGUGCAAGCGUUAAUCGGAAUUACUGGGCGUAAAGCGUGCGCAGGCGGUUUUGUAAGUCUGACGUGAAAUCCCCGGGCUCAACCUGGGAAUUGCGUUGGAGACUGCAAGGCUAGAAUCUGGCAGAGGGGGGUAGAAUUCCACGUGUAGCAGUGAAAUGCGUAGAGAUGUGGAGGAACACCGAUGGCGAAGGCAGCCCCCUGGGUCAAGAUUCACGCUCAUGCACGAAAGCGUGGGGAGCAAACAGG